Molecule: ribosomal RNA, 583 nt
Filed under: uncultured Methanosaeta sp.
Lineage: Archaea; Methanobacteriati; Methanobacteriota; Methanomicrobia; Methanotrichales; Methanotrichaceae
Description: bacterial SSU rRNA
Rfam family: Archaeal small subunit ribosomal RNA
Source: RNAcentral
CGGCUCAGUAACACGUGGAUAACCUACCCUUGAGUUGGGAAUAAACCCGGGAAACUGGGUAUAAUACCCGAUAGAUCUCGACUGCUGGAAUGCAUCGAGAUCCAAAGCUCCGGCGCUCAAGGAUGGAUCUGCGGCCUAUCAGGUAGUAGUGGGUGUAGCGUACCUACUAGCCUACGACGGGUACGGGUUGUGAGAGCAAGAGCCCGGAGAUGGAUUCUGAGACACGAAUCCAGGCCCUACGGGGUGCAGCAGGCGCGAAAACUUUACAAUGCUGGAAACAGCGAUAAGGGGACCUCGAGUGCCAGGUUACAAAUCUGGCUGUCGUGAUGCCUAAAAAGCAUUGCAUAGCAAGGGCCGGGCAAGACCGGUGCCAGCCGCCGCGGUAACACCGGCGGCUCGAGUGGUAACCGUUAUUAUUGGGUCUAAAGGGUCUGUAGCCGGCCGGAUAAGUCUCUUGGGAAAUCUGGCAGCUUAACUGUCAGGCUUUCAGGAGAUACUGUCUGGCUCGAGGCCGGGAGAGGUGAGAGGUACUUCAGGGGUAGGGGUGAAAUCUUGUAAUCCUUGAAGGACCACCAGUGGCGAA